CUCGCGCUCACGACACUGCAGGCGGGACAGGAAACUUUCCAGCUGCCGUUCUGGAUUCUGCAACGAUUCUCAUCAUCGUUAGAAGCCCUUCAGCCUCUCCUUUGUGUUGUCGCCGUCAGACAAACACAGUCGGUCUUCGGUAAGUCCCUCCCGGACGGUGACAAUGAAAGAGUUGGUUUUCUGGAGUGAAGAGGAGACUACCCCAGCCCAGCCAGGCGUGUGCUAAUCAGCCGCAGGCAUGCGCAUCAGAUACCAGCCCAGGGGGCGAGAUGUAGUCACGUCUUCAUUUCCCGUGAAGUCCGACCAACUCUUUAUGCUUCCAGGCUGGUGGGAGCUGGACCUCAGGCAGGUGUGGAGUCUCCUCCUCCAGGAUGCCAUCACCGUGGGACGUUCGCGGUGGGAGGUUCGUGUGAUGGGAGGACCUCCGAGCUGACAUCCAUCCUCUGCUGCUGGCGUCCUCACUGGCUUAGCUGGUGGUGGCCUGGUGAACCCAGGAGCUCUCCGCCCUCAGGCGCCAAGCGGGAAACAGGAACUGUAGCCAGGCUGAGAGCCACAGCACCUGGGGACCCGCCCUCUCUGGCCUCUCCCUCCUCUGGGUCUCUUCUUUCUACUCCCCACCCGCCCCUGUCUCUCCCUGGUCACCCACAAGGC
RNAcentral lists this long non-coding RNA (651 nucleotides) under Equus caballus (horse). RNAcentral describes it as "lncRNA (ENSECAG00000031584.3)". Lineage: Eukaryota; Metazoa; Chordata; Mammalia; Perissodactyla; Equidae. The record is from RNAcentral.